CAUCGCUCUUUGUAACCUAAAAAUAAAGAGUCGAACCUGCCCAGUGAAAUUUUUUAACGGCCGCGGUACCCUGACCGUGCAAAGGUAGCAUAAUCACUUGCCUUAUAAUUGAAGGCUAGCAUGAAUGGUUUGACGAGAACGGCGCUGUCUCCCUUUUAUUUUCUAGAAUUUGACUUUUAGGUGAAGAGGCCUAAGUUCUAUUGAAGGACAAGAAGACCCUGUCGAGCUUUAAAAAUAAAUAGAAACAACUAUACACAGUAAAUUUUAAACUAUUAUUUUUUUUUGGUUGGGGCGACUAAGGAACAACAAAAGCUUCCUCUGUCUUCUUUCACCCAUAAGUUUUGAUCCAGUAAAACUGAUCAAAAAAAUUAGUUACCGCAGGGAUAACAGCAUAAUCUCCUUUGAGAGACCACAUCGAAAGGGGGGGUUGUGACCUCGAUGUUGGACUAGAAUAUCCGGAAGAUGCAGAAGUCUUCAAAGGUUGGUCUGUUCGACCAUUAAAAUUCUAC
RNAcentral lists this ribosomal RNA (509 nucleotides) under Turritella conspersa. RNAcentral describes it as "partial large subunit ribosomal RNA". It matches the Rfam family "Bacterial large subunit ribosomal RNA", at positions 1814 to 2599 of the family's 2925-position model. The record is from RNAcentral. Lineage: Eukaryota; Metazoa; Mollusca; Gastropoda; Turritellidae.